Molecule: long non-coding RNA, 756 nt
Organism: Papaver somniferum (opium poppy)
Lineage: Eukaryota; Viridiplantae; Streptophyta; Magnoliopsida; Ranunculales; Papaveraceae
Exons: 3
Source: RefSeq, a predicted model, not a curated record
UCUCUUCUCUUAUUAUUAGGGUUCGACUUCUUCUUCUUGGUUGGAGUUCAAUAAUCGUCGAUCUUUAUACACACAAUGAUGAUGAUGAUAAUGGUUAUCAGAACUCUCUCUUCUUUUAUCUUUCUUCACUUAUUCUCUCUCUCGUUUUCCCUUUAUUCCGAAGAACCCUGAGCUCUACUAGCCAAAUGUGUUUCAAUCCCACAGAUCGUAGCAAAAUCAUUACCAAAAGGUAUUUCUUUGAAGUGUUCGCAAAGAGAGGGUUUCAGAAGAACAAAGUAUCUUUAAGAUAUGAAUCCCUUGCUCGGGCUCAGUGUCAUAAAAUCGAUAUUACUCUGGGGAAUAUGUGAUUGUUGUUCCAGGAGGUGUGUUUUAGAGUGAAGAAUUGCUGGAGGAACUUGCAGCAGCAUGUACUUGGAUCUGCUAGGAAUACCUCACACACCUGAAAAUGUUGAACGAAGAAUGGGAGUAAUUUUGUGUUGCGUGAAUUACUCAGGCAAGACCUUGGUAUUGAAAGUUCUUGUAGAGUGCAAGACUGGUCAUGCUUUCUGAGUCAAGCUCUGAUUAAGUUCAUGUGCACUAGAACUAUUGAUCUUAUUCAAUGGGAAGAUAUUUGUUUUAUGCAAAACUCAAAAUUUCCUUGAAUCACAGAAUCAAAGAGGUGUAAUCGAUUUCAAUUUUUUCUCCAUCAACAUGACUGCUAAUGUUGUUGGAUUUUCAAGCAAGCGGACAGAUCUAGUAUGUACUUAACUUACAACU